Malaclemys terrapin pileata is the source of this 1722-nucleotide long non-coding RNA. RefSeq lists it as uncharacterized. The transcript is spliced from 2 exons. The record is from RefSeq and is a predicted model, not a curated record. NCBI's taxonomy places the organism in Eukaryota, Metazoa, Chordata, Testudines, Emydidae.
CCCACUCAGCUGACUGAUCAAUAAAGAACUUGAAGCCGUCUUCUAGACUCCCGUGCCUCCUUGGGGUAAUUGGGCAGCUCCAGGGGGAAACGAGCCCAUUUGGCUAACAAUGGCACCCCAGAUGGGACUUCUCUCCCUGUAGAGGGCACUGACCGACGGCCGAGGGCGAUUCCGAGGAGUGGCCACCUCGAGCUGUUGGUUUGCUCGGGCCUCAGAUCGUCACAAUCGGCCGGGGCGGCUGCGUCCUCUCUGAAGAGAACUCUGAAGGACACGGAAGCAAGACGGCUUCAGAAGGAGGGGAAGUCUGACUGCCAGACGCGGCCACUUCGGGCGCUGCAUCGAUACACGGUGCCUUUUCAGGCCCUUCCCUUGGACCAGCCCGUGCACCCGUUCCAGAUCGGUGAUCAGGUCCUUGUCAAGAAGUGGAAGCGUGACCCCCUUACACCACGGUGGGAUGGCCUGCACACGUCUUGCUCAUCAGCCAAGCUGCAGUCAAAGUUCUUGGGAGUGACAAAUGGACACACCAUACGCGGGUAAAGCGGUUUCUGAACCCUAACCUGGAGACUGAACUAGCAGAAGAGGACACCAGCCCUCUGCCCGCCCCGGCUCCGGACGCCCGGGGUGGCACAGGUGAAGACUCCACCUGGGAGUAUCAGUACUUGGACGGACUAAAGGGACUGUUUAGAAAAAGAUAAUGAAAUUAUUGUUAAUAUCUUUGUUUAUGUGCUUCCACCACUAUUAUGGUUGGGAAAAUAGGUUUUUACAGCUGGGGGAGACAAUAGCAAAAUCCUUUAACCUCAGUAACUGUUGGGUAUGCGGAGGCCCAGGGGAAUUAAAUGAAUGGCCUUGGGUAGCCCAGCCGGUACAGCCCAAAUGGUGGCUCAGCAAUUUGAGUAUAGUCCACGAUGGAACGGGGGUUUGGACUGAGGAUAGUAGCCCCUGGCGACUGUAUUCUUCUGGAAUGGGUAUUCUCUGCCUUAAUCGGACAAGGCGGGAGGGAGUGUACUUGGGAGAAAGCAAGUGUGAUUGGACUCUAUCCCCAGGGUUUGAUUGCUGGGACCCUUAUUGUCGUCCGUAUGACUGUUCUAAAUAUCAGGGGCGAUGGAACCAGACCCAUGUGAGGCUCACCAAUAAUAGUUGGGUGAAGUGCUCCAAACAAUACUACCCUGCGGCCGAAGGUUGUAGGGCGGUAGGACAGGAUGGGUUAUUAUAGCUCUAUUAAUGCUAGCUUGCUUUGCUCCCUGCAUAGUUGCAUUGACCCGACGAAUGACUAAUCAAAUCGUACACCAACAAAUGAUGGCACUAUACCAGCCGGUAAAAGCUGAGGACUGGGGGCCAUAAAGCUCUCAAAAUGUUUUUAAGGGGGGGGAACCUUGUUAGAGCAAAGGUCAACUACUGCCUAUUAUCCCCGCUGUUCCCCAUGGCCAUAGCCUGUUUCCCGGAUAUAUGUAUAGCAAGACAAUCAAUCAAGGAAGUCGGACAUAUGCAUCCUGAAGACCCCCAGAAGAAUAAUCAAUCAAGGAGGUCCAACAGAUGUAUCCAAUUUACCCCUAGAAAGGAAUUUAAAAAUUCCAUAGGUUAGCAGAAUGUAUGCACGCUAAGUUGUUUGUUACUGGGUAUAAAAAGGCCUGCUUUGCGCUUGUAAGGUGUGUCUCUCUCUCUGGCACUAGCCGAGGGGAGCACCCACUCAGCUGACUGAUCAAUAAAGAACUUGAAGCCGUC